This is a long non-coding RNA of Elgaria multicarinata webbii, 258 nucleotides long. RefSeq lists it as uncharacterized. The transcript has 3 exons. The record is from RefSeq and is a predicted model, not a curated record. Lineage: Eukaryota; Metazoa; Chordata; Lepidosauria; Squamata; Anguidae.
CAAAGGACCAAAACUCCGACAGCUCUGGGAGCAACCCGGCCAUCUAGGAGCCCCCAAGCAGCUUGACUCUGGGGGAGACUCUCCUCCCAAUGGAGGAAGACACGAGGAAGAGAGGAUCCAUCCAUGAACUGAAUUCUAUCAAUUCUUCUCAGGGACUUCUUCGGCCUGUUUCCGAUUGCAGAGAGCUUGGCUUGGCAUGAUUUGCUUUCUGGCACAGCUGCAGCCUCAAGACGCAUUUGCCCCUUAGCUUUUUACCCC